GACGAACGCUGGCGGCGUGCCUAAUACAUGCAAGUAGAACGCUGAAGCUUGGUGCUUGCACCGAGCGGAUGAGUUGCGAACGGGUGAGUAACGCGUAGGUAACCUGCCUCUUAGCGGGGGAUAACUAUUGGAAACGAUAGCUAAUACCGCAUAAAAGACGAUAUCGCAUGAUAUUGAUUUGAAAGGUGCAAUUGCAUCACUAAGAGAUGGACCUGCGUUGUAUUAGCUAGUUGGUGAGGUAACGGCUCACCAAGGCAACGAUACAUAGCCGACCUGAGAGGGUGAUCGGCCACACUGGGACUGAGACACGGCCCAGACUCCUACGGGAGGCAGCAGUAGGGAAUCUUCGGCAAUGGGGGCAACCCUGACCGAGCAACGCCGCGUGAGUGAAGAAGGUUUUCGGAUCGUAAAGCUCUGUUGUAAGAGAAGAACGAGUGUGAGAGUGGAAAGUUCACACUGUGACGGUAACUUACCAGAAAGGGACGGCUAACUACGUGCCAGCAGCCGCGGUAAUACGUAGGUCCCGAGCGUUAUCCGGAUUUAUUGGGCGUAAAGCGAGCGCAGGCGGUUAGAUAAGUCUGAAGUUAAAGGCUGUGGCUUAACCAUAGUACGCUUUGGAAACUGUUUAACUUGAGUGCAAGAGGGGAGAGUGGAAUUCCAUGUGUAGCGGUGAAAUGCGUAGAUAUAUGGAGGAACACCGGUGGCGAAAGCGGCUCUCUGGCUUGUAACUGACGCUGAGGCUCGAAAGCGUGGGGAGCAAACAGG
This 765-nucleotide ribosomal RNA is filed under the name uncultured Streptococcus sp. RNAcentral describes it as "bacterial SSU rRNA". It matches the Rfam family "Bacterial small subunit ribosomal RNA", at positions 28 to 776 of the family's 1533-position model. The record is from RNAcentral. Lineage: Bacteria; Bacillati; Bacillota; Bacilli; Lactobacillales; Streptococcaceae.